GACGAACGCUGGCGGCGUGCUUAACACAUGCAAGUCGAACGGAAAGGCCCUGCUUUUGUGGGGUGCUCGAGUGGCGAACGGGUGAGUAACACGUGAGUAACCUGCCCUUGACUUUGGGAUAACUUCAGGAAACUGGGGCUAAUACCGGAUAGGAGCUCCUGCUGCAUGGUGGGGGUUGGGAAGUUUCGGCGGUUGGGGAUGGACUCGCGGCUUAUCAGCUUGUUGGUGGGGUAGUGGCUUACCAAGGCUUUGACGGGUAGCCGGCCUGAGAGGGUGACCGGCCACAUUGGGACUGAGAUACGGCCCAGACUCCUACGGGAGGCAGCAGUGGGGAAUAUUGCACAAUGGGCGGAAGCCUGAUGCAGCAACGCCGCGUGCGGGAUGACGGCCUUCGGGUUGUAAACCGCUUUCGCCUGUGACGAAGCGUUAGUGACGGUAAUGGGUAAAGAAGCACCGGCUAACUACGUG
This 468-nucleotide ribosomal RNA is filed under the name uncultured bacterium. Its description in RNAcentral is "partial 16S ribosomal RNA". It matches the Rfam family "Bacterial small subunit ribosomal RNA", at positions 28 to 507 of the family's 1533-position model. The record is from RNAcentral.